CCUGGAUGUUGGAAGGGUGCAGGGGGGAGCCAGUCCUCGCCCAGAGUCCUGGUGAAUGGGGGCGGAGUCAAGGCCUUUGGAAUGAGAAGCCAGAGAUCCAAGUCCAAGGUCCAGCCCUGUCUCCGAGGACUUGGCCAGAAACUCAAGCUGUACUUUUCUGGCUGUUUUUGGAGGAAAUCUGCACGUCGGCAGGGCACUUACCCUGCGCUAGGGGAUGCUGUGGGUACCAGGUCGCAGCUCUAACAGAUACUUCCUGCUCUGGAAGGUCUAAUCCCUUUGUCAAUGGAAAUGAGGAGUUAAAUAGAAAGGCAGAGAGGAGAAAGCGAUGACUUCUGAGCUUCACCGCUAACAAAGAGAUGGAACCAGGAAAUGAGAAGGACCCUCGGUGUGGGUGGGGUAAUUUCAGCUUGGGUGGGAAAGAACCCUUGCAGGAGGUGACAGGGAGAUAGGUGACCUUCAGAGGAGGUAACCACCAGGGACAAGGUGGGGAGGGCCCUAGGGAGGGAGAAGAUCGGAAAUGAGGUGUGAAGGAGGAGGAACAGUCCGGUUGCAGGUACCUGGGGGCUGUUCCAGGCAGAGGGAACAGUGUUAGGCCUUGGGAGGCAGCUGGGCUCAGAGACAGCGUGGGGGAGACUGAGGGCUCUGAGGCCACAUUAGCUUCCUUAGCAACAGCCCAAUGUAGUCAGUGCUUUUCCUCUUUAAUUCCGCUCUUCCCCUCAACUUCCUGGCCUGAAUGCAGCUUCUGUGACCCCUUCCAAGUUCGAGAAGUGGCCCAGGGCAAAUGGUCUGGAGCUGUGCCUUGGUUUCCCCAUGUGCAAAACGCUGUGAAUAAGCGGGUGGUGAACCGUCCCCGGUUGGUUCUUCCUGCUCCCAAUUUUUGGCAGUAGGCUUACAGUAGGCGCUUAAUGUAUACUUGCAGUACAAACGACCUGCGAGUCCGCGGCGCCAGGCUCUUAGACCGACAGCUGCCACAACCCGCGGGGCGGACUAGCCCGCUGGCAGGUAGGGACCGGCUGGUGAGCGCUGGGCGGGCGCCCUGGGGCGCAGCCAAGGGUGGAGGCGUGCAGGCUGCGCAAGCGACGUCUGGCGCCCGGGGGCGCGCACGCCGAUCGGCCGGCGGGGUACAGCUGGGACCUGCGGGGACGCGCACGCUGAGCGCCCGGCCGGGGCGGGACUGGGAACUUGCGUCCCG
Molecule: long non-coding RNA, 1192 nt
Filed under: Marmota monax (woodchuck)
Lineage: Eukaryota; Metazoa; Chordata; Mammalia; Rodentia; Sciuridae
Source: RNAcentral